This 440-nucleotide ribosomal RNA is filed under the name uncultured bacterium. RNAcentral describes it as "partial 16S ribosomal RNA". It matches the Rfam family "Bacterial small subunit ribosomal RNA", at positions 338 to 795 of the family's 1533-position model. The record is from RNAcentral.
CCUACGGGAGGCAGCAGUGGGGAAUAUUGCACAAUGGAGGGAACUCUGAUGCAGCGACGCCGCGUGAGUGAAGACGUCCUUCUUUAUGUAAAGCUCUAUCAGCAGGGAAGAAAGUGACGGUACCUGAACACGAAGCUCCGGCUAAAUACGUGCCAGCAGCCGCGGGAAUACGUAUGGAGCAAGCGUUAUCCGGAUUUACUGGGUGUAAAGGGAGAGUAGGUGGCAGAGCAAGUCCGAAGUGAAAACCCAAAGCUCAACUAUGGGAAUGCUUUUGAAACUGCAGAGCUUGAGUGGAGUAGAGGUAGGCGGAAUUCACGGUGUAGCGGUGAAAUGCGUAGAGAGCGGGAGGAACACCAGUGGCGAAGGCGGCCUGCUGGGCUCUAACUGACGCUGAGGCACGAAAGCGUGGGUAGCAAACAGGAUUAGAUACCCCAGUAGUC